GUGAGAUUCAAUUUUCGAUCUAAUGUUACUAAUUUUAGCCUUUAGGCAAAAUAUACAUAUAGCAUCGUUUUAAUUCGUAUAGUAUCUGUGGUCUUGUGUUCAAUUUUGUUGUGUGACAGC
This 120-nucleotide small nucleolar RNA is filed under the name Arabidopsis thaliana (thale cress). Its description in RNAcentral is "partial small nucleolar RNA snoR93". Lineage: Eukaryota; Viridiplantae; Streptophyta; Magnoliopsida; Brassicales; Brassicaceae. The record is from RNAcentral.